UGAAGAGUUUGAUCAUGGCUCAGAUUGAACGCUGGCGGCAGGCCUAACACAUGCAAGUCGAACGGUAACAGGAAGCAGCUUGCUGCUUUGCUGACGAGUGGCGGACGGGUGAGUAAUGUCUGGGAAACUGCCUGAUGGAGGGGGAUAACUACUGGAAACGGUGGCUAAUACCGCAUAACGUCGCAAGACCAAAGAGGGGGACCUUCGGGCCUCUUGCCAUCAGAUGUGCCCAGAUGGGAUUAGCUUGUUGGUGAGGUAACGGCUCACCAAGGCGACGAUCCCUAGCUGGUCUGAGAGGAUGACCAGCCACACUGGAACUGAGACACGGUCCAGACUCCUACGGGAGGCAGCAGUGGGGAAUAUUGCACAAUGGGCGCAAGCCUGAUGCAGCCAUGCCGCGUGUAUGAAGAAGGCCUUCGGGUUGUAAAGUACUUUCAGCGGGGAGGAAGGUGUUGUGGUUAAUAACCGCAGCAAUUGACGUUACCCGCAGAAGAAGCACCGGCUAACUCCGUGCCAGCAGCCGCGGUAAUACGGAGGGUGCAAGCGUUAAUCGGAAUUACUGGGCGUAAAGCGCACGCAGGCGGUCUGUCAAGUCGGAUGUGAAAUCCCCGGGCUCAACCUGGGAACUGCAUUCGAAACUGGCAGGCUUGAGUCUUGUAGAGGGGGGUAGAAUUCCAGGUGUAGCGGUGAAAUGCGUAGAGAUCUGGAGGAAUACCGGUGGCGAAGGCGGCCCCCUGGACAAAGACUGACGCUCAGGUGCGAAAGCGUGGGGAGCAAACAGGAUUAGAUACCCUGGUAGUCCACGCCGUAAACGAUGUCUACUUGGAGGUUGUGCCCUUGAGGCGUGGCUUCCGGAGCUAACGCGUUAAGUAGACCGCCUGGGGAGUACGGCCGCAAGGUUAAAACUCAAAUGAAUUGACGGGGGCCCGCACAAGCGGUGGAGCAUGUGGUUUAAUUCGAUGCAACGCGAAGAACCUUACCUGGUCUUGACAUCCACGGAAGAAUUCAGAGAUGGAUUUGUGCCUUCGGGAACCGUGAGACAGGUG
RNAcentral lists this ribosomal RNA (1046 nucleotides) under Salmonella enterica subsp. enterica serovar Panama. RNAcentral describes it as "bacterial SSU rRNA". It matches the Rfam family "Bacterial small subunit ribosomal RNA", at positions 1 to 1040 of the family's 1533-position model. The record is from RNAcentral. Lineage: Bacteria; Pseudomonadati; Pseudomonadota; Gammaproteobacteria; Enterobacterales; Enterobacteriaceae.